UAUUCUGCCCCAUGGGGAAGGAUGAGAAGCUUCGACUAAGGUUCGACUCGAGCGAAGCGAG
This 61-nucleotide small RNA is filed under the name Klebsiella pneumoniae. RNAcentral describes it as "partial RtT sRNA". It matches the Rfam family "RtT RNA", at positions 1 to 61 of the family's 130-position model. Rfam says of the family: This family represents a bacterial cis-regulatory element known as RtT RNA. The exact function of RtT is unknown although it is thought that it may be involved in changing the cellular response in relation to amino acid starvation. RNAcentral also lists the same sequence under 1 other name. The record is from RNAcentral. Lineage: Bacteria; Pseudomonadati; Pseudomonadota; Gammaproteobacteria; Enterobacterales; Enterobacteriaceae.